RNAcentral lists this long non-coding RNA (769 nucleotides) under Pan troglodytes (chimpanzee). RNAcentral's name for it is "lincRNA". The record is from RNAcentral. Lineage: Eukaryota; Metazoa; Chordata; Mammalia; Primates; Hominidae.
GUCCAGGUGCUCUCCUGCGGCCAACACAGCCCUAAUGAGCUCUGCAUAUUCAAAGCACAAGUAAUUGAUAGUCCAAUUUAAAGUGUGCAGAGGCCGAAUUUCUUUCCAGACGCUGAAGGAAAAACACCAGCUGAGGAAGAAUGAAGAACUGCCUGUUCUAAGUUAUUCUUCUGUGGUCAUUCGAGCACCAGGAAGACCAGGUUUGCCCCAUCAAGUACCUCAAGAAAGAAGUCAAUUACCUAAAGAAGUCAAGCAAAGAGGAAAGGACAAAAUGAAAAUCAUGUACCAGCGUACACGUCGAGGCUCCAAGCUGGAAUGAAUAUGGCCUUCAACAUACUCUUUAUCAUACAGAAGCUUGUGUUCAGGGCUUGGAUUUUGAAGUCAGACAGACCUGGAUUAAAAACCAAUUCAACUACCUAUUACAUAUGUGACCUAGGAAAAACAUCCAGGCAAGUGGACAGCAUUUGCAUCAGCCCAGCAAUAAGAAGGACCAUAUUCUACUUGGGAAAAGGUAAAGUCAUUUCAUAUGGAUGGAGCCUGCCAGGAAACCUGUCAUUCAACCCUUCGCAAUAAAACAGCUCCUCAUGAAUGAAGCAAAAUAAAUCAGAAGUUGUGGGCUUUUAAACUCACUAAAUGAAAGCCCAGCAUGCAUGCAGCCUCCCUCCAAAUUAAUCACCAGAUUAAAUGCAAGAUGUGCACACCAAAUCAAUAGCUUGUGACACAGACCUCCUGCCUGUGCUUCAGGAAAAUUCCAUUUCCUUUCAGAUGU